Long non-coding RNA from Alexandromys fortis (reed vole), 1465 nucleotides. RefSeq lists it as uncharacterized. The record is from RefSeq and is a predicted model, not a curated record. NCBI's taxonomy places the organism in Eukaryota, Metazoa, Chordata, Mammalia, Rodentia, Cricetidae. The transcript has 3 exons.
UGGAAGGCAGGCCCGCAGCCGGCUGCCACUCCGCGCCCUGGGGCUCCUCGGAGUCAUCCGGAAGCCUGCGCGCCGCUGGGGCGGGACCCAAAUUGGGCAACCGCCCGGGGGACCCCACUUUCUCCCGCGCUUCUAGCAUCCGAGAUAAAGGCUCAGAAUGACACCGUCUUGGCACAGGAUCCCCAGGCACUCCUGGCCCUUCUUCCAGUCUCUGCUCAGAACCGUUCUCUCCAGGGAGUCUUGUGAGCAGUUCGAAGGUCCCAUGACCUACAGUACCCGUGCUGGGGAAAGACAGAGGUUUGGGUUUGGUGGUUCCUUAAUUAUACUCUGGAAGCUUAAUUGAUGGAGUGAAUAACGGUAGCCACUGGCUACUGGACCCAUUCACUAUUCCAGUCCUCACAGCAACACCGGAAGGAAGGAAGUUUUAAGAUUCCCCACGUUUCAGAUCAAGAAAUUGAGGCUCAGAGAUAACUGGAGUGCUGGCAGAUGAUUAAUGACCAACUUGAGAAUUAAAUCCGGGCUUAAAAGCCUUGAUUUAUAAUGUCGCAACUUCCACGGUGGAAACCCCUCGGGCCUGUGGAGGACUUUGUCGUUCCGUGACCCCAAUCCCAGCUCUGACACCCUAACAAGCAGGGGUGAUCCAGAGGGCUCCUCUCCAUGACAGUCAGUGAACUCACAUGCAAAACUCCACUUUGCCCGACAGUAACACGGCUCGAGGCCCUGUGCUCUCAUGAAGCAAACCAUCAGCUUCUCGGCUCCUCGCAAUCGUUCCACAUAAACGGCUUGCUUUUCCUUUCCUUUGAGAAACUCCUUCACUGCCGACAGCGGGCUGACCUUGCUUCUCUUGCAGUCACAGCCUCCGGAGUUGUGGGGGGAGCACAGGUGUGCCUUAUCGUGUUCCUCUAAGUGACGGUACUCGCGCCAACCUGACUGGCAAAAAGAACGUGGGAAAGGCAGGGUUCCUGUGCUGAAUUGACUAUGCUCUAUGAUGGCCUCAUCAGUCCUGUGUGUUACUGCUCAUGCCUCUGUGGACAGCUAUGUACCCAAGGUGCUUGGGAAAGCAACACUGUGUGACUUCGAAGCCUGCAUGAGAGACAGCAUCCAUCACUUUUGCUCUGUUCUUUCUUGGGCUCUCUCAAUGGAGGUCAAGAUGAGCUGAGCAUCGGACUUUCUGAAUGACUCCAGGGACAGCGACAGCGCCAGAGUCUCAAUUUGCUUCUGGAAGGAUGACCCCACCCCCACCCCAGAAGGGAGAGCCUGCUGCUCAGUCAAGCCCGUCCAUGGCCACAGCACAGCCAUGCUGGAGCUUCUGGCUCAGAGAAUCUGCUAGAUGAUGUUGUUUUAAGAUGCUAAAUUUGGGGGGUAAUUUGUUACGCCACAUGAUAUAAUUAAUGCAAAACCUAAUCUGUAGGAGCAUUUUAACUUAAAAGGGAAGAAAAGAUGAAAAUGAAUAAAGAGAAAUAUG